GGUACCGUCAAUCAAACGGAUUAUUCACCCGCAAGACAUUCUUCCCUGCUGAAAGGGGUUUACAACCCGCAGGCCUUCUCCACACACGCGGCAUUGCUGGGUCAGGCUUUCGCCCAUUGCCCAAUAUUCCCUA
RNAcentral lists this ribosomal RNA (133 nucleotides) under uncultured bacterium. RNAcentral's name for it is "partial 16S ribosomal RNA". The record is from RNAcentral.